Molecule: ribosomal RNA, 494 nt
Filed under: uncultured organism
Description: SSU rRNA
Rfam family: Bacterial small subunit ribosomal RNA
Source: RNAcentral
CAACAGCUAGAGUUUGAUCCUGGCUCAGGAUGAACGCUGGCGGCGCGCCUAACACAUGCAAGUCGAACGGAGAUGAAAGAGCUUGCUUUUUCAUCUUAGUGGCGGACGGGUGAGUAACGCGUGAGGAACCUGCCUUUCAGAGGGGGAUAACGUCCGGAAACGGACGCUAAUACCGCAUAACGUGCGAGGGUGGCAUCACCCAUGCACCAAAGAUUUAUCGCUGAAAGAUGGCCUCGCGUCCGAUUAGAUAGUUGGUGAGGUAACGGCCCACCAAGUCUGCGAUCGGUAGCCGGACUGAGAGGUUGAUCGGCCACAUUGGGACUGAGACACGGCCCAGACUCCUACGGGAGGCAGCAGUGGGGGAUAUUGCACAAUGGGCGAAAGCCUGAUGCAGCGACGCCGCGUGAGGGAAGAAGGUCUUCGGAUUGUAAACCUCUGUUUUCGGGGACGACAAUGACGGUACCCGAAUAGAAAGCCACGGCUAACUACGUGCC